Molecule: ribosomal RNA, 466 nt
Filed under: Priestia aryabhattai
Lineage: Bacteria; Bacillati; Bacillota; Bacilli; Caryophanales; Bacillaceae
Description: partial 23S ribosomal RNA
Rfam family: Bacterial large subunit ribosomal RNA
Source: RNAcentral
UCCUGAGUAGCGGCGAGCGAAACGGAAUUAGCCCAAACCAAGAGGCUUGCCUCUUGGGGUUGUAGGACACUCUAUACGGAGUUACAAAGGAAUGAAGUAAAUGAAGCGACCUGGAAAGGUCCGUCGAAGAAGGUAACAACCCUGUAGUUGAAACCUCGUUCCCUCUUGAGUGGAUCCUGAGUACGGCGGAACACGUGAAAUUCCGUCGGAAUCUGGGAGGACCAUCUCCCAAGGCUAAAUACUACCUAGUGACCGAUAGUGAACCAGUACCGUGAGGGAAAGGUGAAAAGCACCCCGGAAGGGGAGUGAAAAAGAUCCUGAAACCGUGUGCCUACAAGUAGUCAGAGCCCGUUAACGGGUGAUGGCGUGCCUUUUGUAGAAUGAACCGGCGAGUUACGAUCCCAUGCAAGGUUAAGCCGAUAAGGCGGAGCCGCAGCGAAAGCGAGUCUGAAUAGGGCGUUUAGUA